Non-coding RNA from Triticum aestivum (bread wheat), 126 nucleotides. The record is from Rfam. Lineage: Eukaryota; Viridiplantae; Streptophyta; Magnoliopsida; Poales; Poaceae.
UAAGUACUCACUCCAUCCGAAAAAGCUUGUCCUAAGCUUGUCUUUCAAAUGGAUGUAUCUAGCACUAAUUUGGUGCUAGAUACAUCCAUUUGAGGGACAAGUUUUUUCGGACGGAGGGAGUAGUAC